Molecule: non-coding RNA, 116 nt
Filed under: Striatella unipunctata
Lineage: Eukaryota; Bacillariophyta; Striatellaphyceae; Striatellales; Striatellaceae
Source: RNAcentral
AUUUCACGUGGUCUUGAUUUCACAACGACUGGAUUGUGGCGCAACUUUCGGUCGGCAUUGUCGAAUGCUGUACUAGAAGUAGUAGAAGUAGAAGUACCAUUAAUGUUGGCAAUGGU